This 374-nucleotide ribosomal RNA is filed under the name uncultured organism. RNAcentral's name for it is "partial 16S ribosomal RNA". It matches the Rfam family "Bacterial small subunit ribosomal RNA", at positions 527 to 896 of the family's 1533-position model. The record is from RNAcentral.
GUAGGUGGCAAGCGUUGUCCGGAAUUAUUGGGCGUAAAGCGCGCGCAGGCGGUUCUCUAAGUCUGAUGUGAAAGCCCACGGCUCAACCGUGGAGGGUCAUUGGAAACUGGAGAACUUGAGUACAGAAGAGGAAAGCGGAAUUCCACGUGUAGCGGUGAAAUGCGUAGAGAUGUGGAGGAACACCAGCGGCGAAGGCGGCUUUCUGGUCUGUAACUGACGCUGAGGCGCGAAAGCGUGGGGAGCAAACAGGGAUUAGAUACCCUGGUAGUCCACGCCGUAAACGAUGAGUGCUAAGUGUUAGGGGGGUUUCCGCCCCCUUAGUGCUGCAGCUAAUGCAUUAAGCACUCCGCCCUGGGAGUACGGCCGCAAGGCUG